CUCUCACCUAAACUCAAGAAUCACUGUUUCUUGAGUGGUGGUUUAAACAGAGGUGCAAACAGCAAGUGAAUCUCAUCGCCUUUGCGGGGCUGUGGCCAUGCCCCUCAAAGUGAAUUUGGAGGCUCUACAGCC
This is a small nucleolar RNA of Nomascus leucogenys (northern white-cheeked gibbon), 132 nucleotides long. Ensembl annotates it as small nucleolar RNA, H/ACA box 68B. Its record names the gene SNORA68B. The record is from Ensembl. Lineage: Eukaryota; Metazoa; Chordata; Mammalia; Primates; Hylobatidae.